CCUACGGGAGGCUGCAGUGGGGAAUAUUGGACAAUGGGGGGAACCCUGAUCCAGCGACGCCGCGUGAGUGAAGAAGUAUUUCGGUAUGUAAAGCUCUAUCAGCAGGGAAGAAAAUGACGGUACCUGACUAAGAAGCCCCGUCUAACUACGUGCCAGCAGCCGCGGUAAUACGGAGGGGGCCAGCGUUAUCCGGAUUUACUGGGGGUAAAGGGAGUGUAGACGGGGCAGCAAGUCUGAUGUGAAAGGUCGGGGCCCAACCCCGGGACUGCAUUGGAAACUGUUGAACUGGAGUACAGGAGAGGUAAGCGGAAUGCCUGGUGUAGCGGUGAAAUGCGUAGAUAUUGGGAAGAACACCAGUGGCGAAGGCGGCUUGCUGGACAGAGACUGACGUUGAGGCUCGAAAGCGUGGGGAGCAAACAGGAUUAGAUACCCCUGUAGUC
RNAcentral lists this ribosomal RNA (440 nucleotides) under uncultured bacterium. RNAcentral's name for it is "partial 16S ribosomal RNA". It matches the Rfam family "Bacterial small subunit ribosomal RNA", at positions 338 to 795 of the family's 1533-position model. The record is from RNAcentral.